This 216-nucleotide non-coding RNA is filed under the name Staphylococcus pettenkoferi. Its description in RNAcentral is "GlcN6P sequence". It matches the Rfam family "glmS glucosamine-6-phosphate activated ribozyme aptamer". Rfam says of the family: This entry contains a glucosamine-6-phosphate activated ribozyme that is found in the mRNA for GlmS. GlmS is an enzyme that uses fructose-6-phosphate and glutamine to generate glucosamine-6-phosphate. Lineage: Bacteria; Bacillati; Bacillota; Bacilli; Caryophanales; Staphylococcaceae. RNAcentral also lists the same sequence under 1 other name. The record is from RNAcentral.
AAUUCAGUUAAAGCGCCAGUACAAAUGCAGUGUCUUAUCCAUCAUUUAAGGUUUAAUAUCAGAAAUCUUAAUAGAUAGGUCGUCUGUAUUUGUAGACGAGGUGGAUAGUUAUCGAGAUUUCGGCGGAUGCUAUCCCGGAUGGUUAGGCUCAUUCGUAAGCUUAAUGAUGAAAACACUAGGGUAACUUAGUGCACAAAGUUAUUAAGCAAGCCUAUA